UACGUAGGUCCCGAGCGUUGUCCGGAUUUAUUGGGCGUAAAGAGCUCGUAGGCGGUUUGUCGCGUCUGCCGUGAAAGUCCGGGGCUCAACUCCGGAUCUGCGGUGGGUACGGGCAGACUAGAGUGAUGUAGGGGAGACUGGAAUUCCUGGUGUAGCGGUGAAAUGCGCAGAUAUCAGGAGGAACACCGAUGGCGAAGGCAGGUCUCUGGGCAUUAACUGACGCUGAGGAGCGAAAGCAUGGGGAGCAAACAGG
This 253-nucleotide ribosomal RNA is filed under the name uncultured microorganism. Its description in RNAcentral is "partial 16S ribosomal RNA". It matches the Rfam family "Bacterial small subunit ribosomal RNA", at positions 524 to 776 of the family's 1533-position model. The record is from RNAcentral.